CAGGUUGUACCUCUGCUUGGCCUGGGCCCUUGCUGCCUGGAACAUAGAAAGAACACGUUGGACCUGCACGGUUGUGAGUAAGCAGAAAAAGAAGAAAACUCCCCUCAUGCUUUUAAGUCAUAUUGGAUCAAAGUAGUGGCGAAUCUUCUGCUGGAAGAGUAAGAGGCCGAGAGAGAGAGAACUUUCAAAUUUGAACAGUUUCUUAUGAAGGCUUAGCUGCUUCUUGGAAGCGAAGGUGAAAUUCUCCAGGAAGUCUCAACAGAUGCUGGGAUAUAUAGGCAAUCAGCCCCUUUGCUUCCUGGGAUAUAUAAUUUUCUCCUUUCCUUCCCUGCAAUUCCCUUGCCAGAUUUUUACCCAGACGGUUUGAUUAGAGGGUUUAACAUCACACUGUUCUUACACAAAUUCUGGCUGUGAUAGAGCUGGCUAGCAGAACAUCUGAUGUGUUUUUCAACUGUUUC
Ornithorhynchus anatinus (platypus) is the source of this 458-nucleotide long non-coding RNA. RefSeq lists it as uncharacterized. The transcript is spliced from 2 exons. The record is from RefSeq and is a predicted model, not a curated record. NCBI's taxonomy places the organism in Eukaryota, Metazoa, Chordata, Mammalia, Monotremata, Ornithorhynchidae.